RNAcentral lists this ribosomal RNA (1677 nucleotides) under Triticum aestivum (bread wheat). RNAcentral describes it as "partial small subunit ribosomal RNA". The record is from RNAcentral. Lineage: Eukaryota; Viridiplantae; Streptophyta; Magnoliopsida; Poales; Poaceae.
AUGAUGGCGGCGGCCGUCGCCGAGGCUGCCAAGCGGGAGGCGCUCCGCGGCGCCUUCUCCGUCGUCAUAGGAGCGCGCGUCCCCGGAUCCGCCGCUGAGGGCGACGUAGCCGAUGGAAACAUCAAGGACAUCGUGCUCGACAACUUCUCUGUCUCUGUGCGAGGAAACGAGCUGCUCAAGGGCGCCUCCCUCCGGAUCUCGCAUGGUCGCCGCUACGGCCUCGUGGGGCCCAAUGGCAUGGGCAAAUCUACCCUCCUGAAGCUGCUCUCUUGGCGGCAGGUGCCUGUGCCCAAGAACAUUGAUGUCCUGCUUGUGGAGCAGCAGAUUGUUGGUGAUGACCGCUCGGCAACCGAGGCGGUGGUUGCAGCCAAUGAGGAGCUCACGGCGCUCCGGGCUGAGCAGGCAAAGCUUGAGGCCUCUAACGACCCCGAUGACAACGACAAGCUUGCCGAGGUAUACGAGAAGCUAAAUCUAUGCGACUCUGAUGCUGCACGCGCGGGUGCGUCCAAAAUCCUCGCGGGGCUGGGGUUUGAUCAGGCGAUGCAGGCAAGGUCCACAAAGUCCUUCAGUGGUGGCUGGAGGAUGCGCAUCUCGCUUGACCGUGCUCUCUUCAUGCAGCCAACAUUGCAGCUCCUUGAUGAGCCUACCAACCAUUUGGACCUCCGAGCUGUGCUUUGGUUAGAGCAGUACUUGUGCUCGCAGUGGAAGAAGACCCUUAUUUUGAGUCUGCAUGUUUACCGUGGUAAUUUUGAUGACUUCGAGAGCGGGUAUGAGCAGAAGAGGAAGGAGAUGAACAAGAAGUUUGAGGUGUAUGAAAAGCAGAUGAAAGCAGCAAGGAAGACUGGGAGCAAGGCUGCACAAGAUAAGGUUAAAGACCAAGCAAUGUCAAAGGCCCAUAAAGAAGUUGCCAAGGGGAAGGGGAAGGGAAAGAAUGUGGCAAGUGAUGAUGAUAACGUGAAGCUAGCGGAUCUGCCACAAAAGUGGCAUGACUACAAAGUUGAGUUCCACUUCCCAGAACCCACUUUGCUCACACCACCACUCCUUCAGCUCAUUGAUGUGGGUUUCGGCUACCCCAACCGUCCAGACUUCAAGUUAUCAGAUGUUGAUGUUGGCAUUGACAUGGGAACACGUGUUGCCAUUGUUGGGCCCAAUGGAGCAGGAAAGUCUACUAUUCUGAAUUUACUUGCUGGUGGUCUUAACCCAUCCGAAAGAGAGGCAAGAAGGAGCCAGAAGCUGAGGAUUGGACGAUACUCACAGCAUUUUGUUGACUUGUUGACGAUGGAGGAAAAUGCAGUUCAGUAUUUGCUCAGGCUCCACCCAGACCAGGGGGGAAUGAGCAAAGCGGAGGUUGUCCGUGGCAACCUUGGAAAAUUUGGCUUGCCAGGUCACAACCAUCUUACUCCCAUUGUUAAAUUAUGUGGUGGUCAGAAGGCCCGUGUUCCUACAAAUCACUUGGAUAUGCAAAGUAUUGAUGCUUUGGCAGACGCUCUGGAUGAAUUCACUGGAGGUCUGGUCUUGGUUAGCCAUGACUCGCGGUUGAUAUCUCGAGUUUGUGACGAUGAGGAGAAGAUCCAGAUAUGGGUUGUGGAGGAUGGCACGGUGACUAAAUAUGAUGGCUCGUUUGAGGAUUACAAGGAUGAACUAAUGGCAGAAAUAAAGAAGGAAGUUGAAGAGUAA